Molecule: ribosomal RNA, 488 nt
Filed under: uncultured bacterium
Lineage: Bacteria
Description: partial 16S ribosomal RNA
Rfam family: Bacterial small subunit ribosomal RNA
Source: RNAcentral
GACGAACGCUGGCGGCGUGCUUAAUACAUGCAAGUCGAACGGAAAGGCCCUGCUUUUGUGGGGUUCUCGUGUGCCGAACGGGUGAGUACCACGUGAGUAACCUGCUCCUGACUUACGGAGAACUUCACGAAACUCCGGCUAAUACCCGAUACGAGCUCCUGCAGCACGGUGGUGGUGGGAUAGUUUCGGCUGUUCUGGAUCGCCUCGCGCGGUAUCAGCUGGUUUGCCGGGUAGCCGCUUACCAAGACUACGACGCGUACCCGACCUGAGAGGGUGACCGGCCACACGAGAACUGAGACACGGACAAGACUACUACGGGAGGCAGCAGUAGGGAAUCUUCCGCAAAAGGCGAAAGCCUUACGGAGCAGCGCCGCGUGUGUGAUGAAGGUCGUCGGAUCGUGAAACUCUGUUAUUAGGUGAGAACAGAUGUGUAAGUAACUGUGCACAUCUUGACGGUACCUAAUCAGAAAGCAACGGCUAACUACGUG